UGAUUAGACUUGCUCUUAUGUUCUUAGCGGCGGACGGGUGAGUACACGUGGGUAACCUGCCCAUAAGACUGGGAUAACUCCGGGAAACCGGGGCUAAUACCGGAUAACAUUUUGAACUGCAUGGUUCGAAAUUGAAAGGCGGCUUCGGCUGUCACUUAUGGAUGGACCCGCGUCGCAUUAGCUAGUUGGUGAGGUAACGGCUCACCAAGGCAACGAUGCGUAGCCGACCUGAGAGGGUGAUCGGCCACACUGGGACUGAGACACGGCCCAGACUCCUACGGGAGGCAGCAGUAGGGAAUCUUCCGCAAUGGACGAAAGUCUGACGGAGCAACGCCGCGUGAGUGAUGAAGGCUUUCGGGUCGUAAAACUCUGUUGUUAGGGAAGAACAAGUGCUAGUUGAAUAAGCUGGCACCUUGACGGUACCUAACCAGAAAGCCACGGCUAACUACGUGCCAGCAGCCGCGGUAAUACGUAGGUGGCAAGCGUUAUCCGUUU
Molecule: ribosomal RNA, 495 nt
Filed under: Bacillus cereus
Lineage: Bacteria; Bacillati; Bacillota; Bacilli; Caryophanales; Bacillaceae
Description: bacterial SSU rRNA
Rfam family: Bacterial small subunit ribosomal RNA
Source: RNAcentral